GCAGCAUGCGAGUGAGGGUCGCCGGUGGGCAGGUUCGCCUGGACCACCGGAGGAAAGUCCGAGCUCCACAGGGCAGGGUGCCGGGUAACGCCCGGGCGGCGCGAGCCGACGGAAAGUGCAACAGAAAGCAAACCGCCGAUGGCUCCCUCGGGAGCACAGGCAAGGGUGAAAGGGUGCGGUAAGAGCGCACCGGGCCGCUGGUGACAGGGGCCGCAUGGCAAACCCCACCCGGAGCAAGGCCAAGCAGGGACGACGGAGCGGCCCGCUCCAUCUGAGUCCCGGGUCGGCUGCUCGAGCGGCGUGGCAACACGUCGCCCAGAGAAAUGACACUCACCCGCCUUCGGGCGGGGACAGAACUCGGCUUAAUCGCAUGCGGCCCCU
This 381-nucleotide RNase P RNA is filed under the name Gemmatimonadales bacterium. RNAcentral's name for it is "RNase P RNA component class A". It matches the Rfam family "Bacterial RNase P class A". Rfam says of the family: Ribonuclease P (RNase P) is a ubiquitous endoribonuclease, found in archaea, bacteria and eukarya as well as chloroplasts and mitochondria. Its best characterised activity is the generation of mature 5'-ends of tRNAs by cleaving the 5'-leader elements of precursor-tRNAs. Cellular RNase Ps are ribonucleoproteins. The record is from RNAcentral. Lineage: Bacteria; Pseudomonadati; Gemmatimonadota; Gemmatimonadia; Gemmatimonadales.